This 24-nucleotide small RNA is filed under the name Bombyx mori (domestic silkworm). RNAcentral's name for it is "ovarian small RNA-34742". Lineage: Eukaryota; Metazoa; Arthropoda; Insecta; Lepidoptera; Bombycidae. The record is from RNAcentral.
UGGCACUGCCCGGGAGUGCCGCGU